Molecule: long non-coding RNA, 485 nt
Organism: Caenorhabditis elegans
Lineage: Eukaryota; Metazoa; Nematoda; Chromadorea; Rhabditida; Rhabditidae
Gene: linc-112
Product: ncRNA
Source: Ensembl
AGAGACUAUUAAUGAGGUGAUUUAUUGUCGCAUUCUCAACGUCUCCCCCGGUGUGCCCUAUCCGUUUUGAUAAUUACGAAAACAAAACAAAAGCCACAAAAACAAAAGACACUACCGCAUUUUUAAUGAAAAAAGUAGCUUCUUAUCUCAUUUUCUCAACUUUUUUUCUCAUAAGUCCCUUCGAGAAAUAUUUCGGUCAGUUCGCACAUGUUCCUCACAUCUAUUCUCCUCGACAUGUUUUUUUACUCAUUUUUCUUUCUGUCCCGUCUUCUUCUUAUUUGCAGAACGGUCUUGUCACCAACCAACACCUUCCCAUCUUUCACAAUGCGUGCACACACCAAAUUUUUUUUUGGUUGUUCGGUCGCAGUCUCAUCCAGCACAUUGUUCUAGACGGACCCUUCUUCUGUCCUUUUUUCCGAUUUUUUGUUUCGACUUCUCUAUUACCAAUUCAUUCUUUUUGUUUACUUCAUAUGUAUAUAUAUAUA